This 253-nucleotide ribosomal RNA is filed under the name uncultured bacterium. RNAcentral describes it as "partial 16S ribosomal RNA". It matches the Rfam family "Bacterial small subunit ribosomal RNA", at positions 524 to 776 of the family's 1533-position model. The record is from RNAcentral.
UACGUAGGGGGCAAGCGUUAUCCGGAAUCACUGGGUGUAAAGGGAGCGUAGACGGUUGUGCAAGUCUGGAGUGAAAGGCGGGGGCCCAACCCCCGGACUGCUCUGGAAACUGUGUAACUGGAGUGCAGGAGAGGCAGGCGGAAUUCCUGGUGUAGCGGUGAAAUGCGUAGAUAUCAGGAGGAACACCGGUGGCGAAGGCGGCCUGCUGGACUGUAACUGACGUUGAGGCUCGAAAGCGUGGGGAGCAAACAGG